GAUGAACGCUGGCGGCGUGCUUAACACAUGCAAGUCGAACGAUGAAGCCCAGCUUGCUGGGUGGAUUAGUGGCGAACGGGUGAGUAACACGUGAGUAACCUGCCCUUAACUCUGGGAUAAGCCUGGGAAACUGGGUCUAAUACCGGAUAGGAGCGUCCACCGCAUGGUGGGUGUUGGAAAGAUUUAUCGGUUUUGGAUGGACUCGCGGCCUAUCAGCUUGUUGGUGAGGUAAUGGCUCACCAAGGCGACGACGGGUAGCCGGCCUGAGAGGGUGACCGGCCACACUGGGACUGAGACACGGCCCAGACUCCUACGGGAGGCAGCAGUGGGGAAUAUUGCACAAUGGGCGAAAGCCUGAUGCAGCGACGCCGCGUGAGGGAUGACGGCCUUCGGGUUGUAAACCUCUUUCAGCAGGGAAGAAGCCACAAGUGACGGUACCUGCAGAAGAAGCGCCGGCUAACUACGUG
Molecule: ribosomal RNA, 467 nt
Filed under: uncultured bacterium
Lineage: Bacteria
Description: partial 16S ribosomal RNA
Rfam family: Bacterial small subunit ribosomal RNA
Source: RNAcentral